Molecule: ribosomal RNA, 494 nt
Filed under: uncultured bacterium
Lineage: Bacteria
Description: partial 16S ribosomal RNA
Rfam family: Bacterial small subunit ribosomal RNA
Source: RNAcentral
UCCUCCCUCUGUCGGCGUGCUUAACACAUGCAAGUCGAACGGUGAAGCGCCUUCCUUUUUGGUGGGUGUGGAUGAGUGGCGAACGGGUGAGUAACACGUGAGUAACCUGCCCCCUUCUUCUGGAUAACCGCAUGAAAGUGUGGCUAAUACGGGAUAUUCUGGGUCUGUCGCAUGAUGGGUCUGGGAAAGAUAUUGUUUCGGUGGGGGAUGGGCUCGCGGCCUAUCAGCUUGUUGGUGGGGUGAUGGCCUACCAAGGCGGUGACGGGUAGCCGGCCUGAGAGGGUGGACGGUCACACUGGGACUGAGACACGGCCCAGACUCCUACGGGAGGCAGCAGUGGGGAAUAUUGCACAAUGGGCGCAAGCCUGAUGCAGCGACGCCGCGUGAGGGAUGGAGGCCUGCGGGUUGUGAACCUCUUUCGCCAGUGAAGCAGGCCUGCCUCGUUUGUGGGUGGGUUGACGGUAGCUGGAUAAGAAGCGCCGGCUAACUACGUG